RNAcentral lists this transfer RNA (69 nucleotides) under Rhinolophus formosae (Formosan woolly horseshoe bat). RNAcentral's name for it is "tRNA-Trp". Lineage: Eukaryota; Metazoa; Chordata; Mammalia; Chiroptera; Rhinolophidae. The record is from RNAcentral.
AGGAAUUUAGGUUAAACUAGACCAAGAGCCUUCAAAGCUCUAAGUAAAUGAACACACAUUUAAUUCCUG